Rhipicephalus microplus (southern cattle tick) is the source of this 815-nucleotide long non-coding RNA. Lineage: Eukaryota; Metazoa; Arthropoda; Arachnida; Ixodida; Ixodidae. The record is from RefSeq and is a predicted model, not a curated record.
GCACUUUCGAGUGAAUUUCAUUAGCAGGGUCAGUGAAGUUUUUUGUAAAGGACGUCUACAGCUGUGAAAUGCUACGAACUUGUCCCGACAAGUGCUCUACUUUAAAAAAUGCUAUUGUAUUUUUUAUUUGUUUUUCCACACUUAUAUGUGCAAUAAGGAAACAGUUCGGAGUAUCCUGAAUAUUGGGAAUCGGGGAGAUUGAUUCAAGCUUCCCCAAAAAGAAUGAGAUUGUGACCGCAACAACUCCUAUUGCACAGCAUAUUUGCAGUAAGCGCACUAGCAAUGAAAGAAUUGGCUGAAACUUUAUUUUGUACAGCUGCCAUUCCCCAUUUUGUCUUGAGCUCUGCUGCGUCCAUUCUGUUAUCCACUCGAAGAGCUACGAUUUGGGAAGUGUUGGAAAGCACAAGUCCUCUGCACUAUCGUUUGAGCAAACAAGAUAAGGGUGACGCAGGUGCAGAAGGGAAGAUAAUGAAAGCAUGCACCUCGUUUCAUGUCGUCUCUAUUGAGUUUGUCACUGUAGCAUUUGCGAGAAGCCGGUUAUGCCAGUAAUCCUUAUAAAAGCAGCAUAUUUCAGACAUCGGUGAAUUCGUUAUCCCUGAUUUCACACCGUCAGGCUACAAAACUAGCGCAGCUGUUUCGUCUGAUGAACAUCGUAUGCAUGAAAAACCCAAUGGCAGCAAUGCGACAAAAGAAAUUGGAAUGUUAUGGAGUCUCAAUGGAAAGUGAUAAAAUAUCUGAACCAAAGAUGACUGUUUUGUAUUCACUUUGACAAUAAAGCUUUUCUUUCUUCGCCGAGAGGGCAUCGAGAGACUGUG